GGUGCCUUCGGGAAUCUACAUACAGGUGCUGCAUGGCUGUCGUCAGCUCGUGUCGUGAGAUGUUGGGUUAAGUCCCGCAACGAGCGCAACCCUUUUCCUUACUUGCCAGCAUUUCGGAUGGGAACUUUAAGGAUACUGCCAGUGACAAACUGGAGGAAGGCGGGGACGACGUCAAGUCAUCAUGGCCCUUACGGCCAGGGCUACACACGUGCUACAAUGGUCGGUACAAAGGGUUGCUACACAGCGAUGUGAUGCUAAUCUCAAAAAGCCGAUCGUAGUCCGGAUCGCAGUCUGCAACUCGACUGCGUGAAGUCGGAAUCGCUAGUAAUCGCGGAUCAGAAUGCCGCGGUGAAUACGUUCCCGGGCCUUGUACACACCGCCCGUCACACCAUGGGAGUUUGUUGCACCAGAAGUAGGUAGUCUAACCGCAAGGAGGACGCUUACCACGGUGUGGCCGAUGACUGGGGUGAAGUCGUAACAAGGUAGCCGUAGGGGAACCUGCGGCUGGAUCACCUCCUUAA
This 521-nucleotide ribosomal RNA is filed under the name Acinetobacter towneri. Its description in RNAcentral is "bacterial SSU rRNA". It matches the Rfam family "Bacterial small subunit ribosomal RNA", at positions 1013 to 1533 of the family's 1533-position model. Lineage: Bacteria; Pseudomonadati; Pseudomonadota; Gammaproteobacteria; Moraxellales; Moraxellaceae. The record is from RNAcentral.